This 253-nucleotide ribosomal RNA is filed under the name uncultured bacterium. RNAcentral describes it as "partial 16S ribosomal RNA". It matches the Rfam family "Bacterial small subunit ribosomal RNA", at positions 524 to 776 of the family's 1533-position model. The record is from RNAcentral.
UACGUAGGGAGCAAGCGUUGUCCGGAAUCAUUGGGCGUAAAGAGCGUGUAGGCGGCCCGAUAAGUCCGCCGUGAAAGUCCAGGGCUCAACCCUGGAAUGCCGGUGGAAACUGUCGGGCUGGAGUCCGGAAGAGGCGAGUGGAAUUCCUGGUGUAGCGGUGAAAUGCGCAGAUAUCAGGAGGAACACCUAUUGCGAAGGCAGCUCGCUGGGACGUAACUGACGCUGAGACGCGAAAGCGUGGGGAGCAAACAGG